CGCGUAGGCGGGAUGGCAAGUCGGUCGUGAAAUCCUUCGGCUCAACCGAAGAACGUCGAUCGAUACUGCUGUUCUUGAGGGUUGCAGAGGAGACUGGAAUUCCCGGUGUAGCGGUGAAAUGUGUAGAGAUCGGGAGGAACACCGGUGGCGAAGGCGGGUCUCUGGGCAAUUCCUGACGCUGAGGCGCGAAAGCGUGGGGAGCAAACGGGAUUAGAUACCCCGGUGGUCCACGCUGUAAACGAUGACGACUAGGUGUGGGGGGGUUCAGUCCCCUCCGUGCCGCAGCUAACGCAUUAAGUCGUCCGCCUGGGGAGUACGGCCGCAAGGUUGAA
Molecule: ribosomal RNA, 332 nt
Filed under: uncultured bacterium
Lineage: Bacteria
Description: bacterial SSU rRNA
Rfam family: Bacterial small subunit ribosomal RNA
Source: RNAcentral